GAUGAACGCUGGCGGCGUGCUUAACACAUGCAAGUCGAACGAAGCACUCUACUUGAUCUCUUCGGAGUGAUUGUUUUGUGACUGAGUGGCGGACGGGUGAGUAACGCGUGGGUAACCUGCCUCAUACAGGGGGAUAACAGUUGGAAACGACUGCUAAUACCGCAUAAGCGCACAGCAUCGCAUGAUGCAGUGUGAAAAACUCCGGUGGUAUGAGAUGGACCCGCGUCUGAUUAGCCAGUUGGUGGGGUAACGGCCUACCAAAGCGACGAUCAGUAGCCGACCUGGGAGGGGGACCGGCCACAUUGGGACUGAGACACGGCCCAAACUCCUACGGGAGGCAGCAGUGGGGAAUAUUGCACAAUGGGGGAAACCCUGAUGCAGCGACGCCGCGUGAGCGAAGAAGUAUUUCGGUAUGUAAAGCUCUAUCAGCAGGGAAGAAGAAAUGACGGUACCUGACUAAGAAGCACCGGCUAAAUACGUGCCAGCAGCCGCCGUAA
RNAcentral lists this ribosomal RNA (497 nucleotides) under uncultured bacterium. RNAcentral's name for it is "partial 16S ribosomal RNA". It matches the Rfam family "Bacterial small subunit ribosomal RNA", at positions 28 to 523 of the family's 1533-position model. The record is from RNAcentral.